This 541-nucleotide ribosomal RNA is filed under the name Ptychographa xylographoides. RNAcentral's name for it is "eukaryotic LSU rRNA". The stretch from base 181 to 334 matches the Rfam family "5.8S ribosomal RNA". The record is from RNAcentral. Lineage: Eukaryota; Fungi; Ascomycota; Lecanoromycetes; Baeomycetales; Xylographaceae.
CAUUAAAGAGAUAGGGUCCUCGAGGCCCGAACCUCCCACCCUUUGUACACUUACCUUUGUUGCUUUGACGGACCGCGGGGUUCUGCAGACCCCCCGUUGACUUCGGUGGACGAGUUUCCGUCAGAGACCCCCUAAACUCAGCUUCUUUUGUGAUGUCCGAGUCAUAACACAAUCGUUUAAAACUUUCAACAACGGAUCUCUUGGUUCUGGCAUCGAUGAAGAACGCAGCGAAAUGCGAUAAGUAAUGUGAAUUGCAGAAUUCAGUGAAUCAUCGAAUCUUUGAACGCACAUUGCGCCCUCUGGUAUUCCGGGGGGCAUGCCUGUUCGAGCGUCAUUACACCUCUCAAGCACCGCUUGGUAUUGGGUGGUAGCCCCGUGGGGCUCACCUGAAAUUUAGCGGCGAUGCGGUCGGUCUUCAAGCGUAGUAAAACUUCAUGUUUCGCUUCUGGAGCCCGGGUGCGUUCGCCGGAUAACCCCUUAUUUUUUUAAUGGUUGACCUCGGAUCAGGUAGGGAUACCCGCUGAACUUAAGCAUAUCAAUA